Molecule: ribosomal RNA, 443 nt
Filed under: uncultured bacterium
Lineage: Bacteria
Description: bacterial SSU rRNA
Rfam family: Bacterial small subunit ribosomal RNA
Source: RNAcentral
UGAGGAAUAUUGGGUCAAUGGGCGGAAGCCUGAACCAGCCAUGCCGCGUGAAGGAAUAAGGCCCUAUGGGUCGUAAACUUCUUUUGUACGGGAGCAAUAAGUCUCACGUGUGGGACGAUGAGAGUACCGUACGAAUAAGCAUCGGCUAACUCCGUGCCAGCAGCCGCGGUAAUACGGAGGAUGCGAGCGUUAUCCGGAUUUAUUGGGUUUAAAGGGUGCGUAGGCGGCUUGGUAAGUCAGCGGUGAAAUGUCGGGGCUCAACCUCGGAACUGCCGUUGAUACUGUCAGGCUUGAAUGCGGAUGCCGUGGGAGGAAUGUGUGGUGUAGCGGUGAAAUGCAUAGAUAUCACACAGAACACCGAUUGCGAAGGCAUCUCACGAAUCCGCGAUUGACGCUGAGGCACGAAAGUGCGGGGAGCAAACAGGAUUAGAUACCCUGGUAGU